GGGGAAUAUUGGACAAUGGGGGCAACCCUGAUCCAGCCAUGCCGCGUGUGUGAAGAAGGCCUUCGGGUUGUAAAGCACUUUAAGUUGGGAGGAAAGGGUGCUGGCUAAUAUCCAGUAUCUAUGACGUUACCAACAGAAUAAGCACCGGCUAACUCCGUGCCAGCAGCCGCGGUAAUACGGAGGGUGCAAGCGUUAAUCGGAAUUACUGGGCGUAAAGCGCGCGUAGGCGGCUAGUUAAGCUAGAUGUGAAAUCCCUGGGCUCAACCUGGGAACUGCAUUUAGAACUGACGGGCUAGAGUGCAGAAGAGGAGUGUGGAAUUUCCGGUGUAGCGGUGAAAUGCGUAGAGAUCGGAAGGAACAUCAGUGGCGAAGGCGACACUCUGGUCUGACACUGACGCUGAGGUGCGAAAGCGUGGGUAGCAAAC
RNAcentral lists this ribosomal RNA (425 nucleotides) under uncultured bacterium. Its description in RNAcentral is "bacterial SSU rRNA". It matches the Rfam family "Bacterial small subunit ribosomal RNA", at positions 356 to 773 of the family's 1533-position model. The record is from RNAcentral.